AGUGAACGCUGGCGGUAGGCCUAACACAUGCAAGUCGAACGGCAGCACAGUAAGAGUUUGCUCUUACGGGUGGCGAGUGGCGGACGGGUGAGGAAUACAUCGGAAUCUACUUUUUCGUGGGGGAUAACGUAGGGAAACUUACGCUAAUACCGCAUACGACCUACGGGUGAAAGCAGGGGAUCUUCGGACCUUGCGCGAUUGAAUGAGCCGAUGUGGGAUUAGCUAGUUGGCGGGGUAAAGGCCCACCAAGGCGACGAUCCGUAGCUGGUCUGAGAGGAUGAUCAGCGACACUGGAACGGGGACAGGCUCCAGAGUCCUACGGGAGGCAGCAGAGGGGAAUGUUGGACAAUGGGCGCAAGCCUUAUCCAGCCAUACCGCGUGGGUGAAAAAGGCCUUGGGGUUGUAAAGCCGGUUUGUUGGGAAAAAAAAGCAGCAGGUUAAUACGCCGCUGUUCUGACGGUAACCAAAAAAUAAGCACCGGCUAACUUCGUG
RNAcentral lists this ribosomal RNA (492 nucleotides) under uncultured bacterium. Its description in RNAcentral is "partial 16S ribosomal RNA". It matches the Rfam family "Bacterial small subunit ribosomal RNA", at positions 29 to 507 of the family's 1533-position model. The record is from RNAcentral.